GGUCCUUUAGCUGCCUAGGAAAUAGCAUCUACCCUGCGGUGGCGGGGUGCGUUCCACAGUGGAACGCACGCUCACACCACAUGCCUGCAGCUUAGCUACACCUGUGGCCAAUACAUCUGAAUAAUCAAGAGGGCUAUAAAGUGGGCAGUGACAGUCAGACAAUGGCUCUGGACCGCCAUAGGGAGUGCAAGGGAGGACUGGACCGUAGGACAACUUAAAUGCUCCAUUCAUCCACCUGAUAUAUCUGUGGGGCCAGACUUACGUCAUCUAGGACCUUUUCAAGCCAUAUAUCUAUAUCGCAUAGGGACGCUCGUCCUAUAAUAUGACGACCUGUGCCCUGUUGGCAUACUAAUACAAGGAGUGACAUCAAAACUCUUAGACAGAAAUCCUAAUCUGAAGUCCUGCAUCUAUGUAACUGAUAGCCAUGCAUCGAUGGUUGAUUAUGUCGGAUGCUUCCUUAAACUCUCUUUAAUACUAAUAAUAUCAUGUAAAACCAAUAGGUCCAGUUCGAACUGCCAUUUGUGCAGGAACAGACAUGAUCCCACUAGGGCUGGUGAGAGAGAUUCACCAAUAGAGCGGUCCCAUUACCUGGGCCUCCUAUCCUAUCAGUGUGAUAUAUAGGCUAUAUGCUGCUCACCUGUUGCAGCAUUUUCUACACCUCAUUAUUUAAUUUAACGGAAAGAUUCAUUCACCCCCUGAUGAUCCCACACCGUGGGGGAAACGCGUUGGGGUAUUAGUGUAUUGCUUUGAUUCGGUCCAUAUAUCUGGGUGACCGCUUACACCCCUAUAACGGAGUGUUUUUUAAUGAGUAAGUCCGGUGCGCCGCGUACCUUUUGAUAUUUUUAUAUCACCAGGGAUGUAUACAUAGCGCACUAAAUUUAUGUUUGUUUUUGUCUUGCUGUCCAUAGAGGUCCCCCACAGAAUAGGCUCAUCUCAACAGGGAGGGCUACCUAGGAUCUGUUAGCCUUAGGCUGGAGGACAGGGAGUCCCCACCAUCAGGGGCCGUCCCUGGGCAAAGGGUUUAGCACAGGGUCCAUAAUAGGGACAUUGUCCUUGCCCACAGCUAAACCCAUCUAGUUAGGA
Bufo gargarizans (Asiatic toad) is the source of this 1083-nucleotide long non-coding RNA. RefSeq lists it as uncharacterized. The transcript has 4 exons. NCBI's taxonomy places the organism in Eukaryota, Metazoa, Chordata, Amphibia, Anura, Bufonidae. The record is from RefSeq and is a predicted model, not a curated record.